CUUAAUAACAACAUGACCCUUGCAUAAAACAAAGAAAAGCAAAAGAGAAAAAACAAAAAUAGAACAAAAAAAAUCACAUAAAGCGAUACAUCUAGUGAAAGCUAUGAUCUUUUUUUAAAAAAGCCCUCCAGAAACUCAUCAGAUUUAACCGUCAAUUAAAUUUCGGCUUUUAAAAAAUCGAGCAUGCACCCUUUCUAAGACAUAAUCAUGAGAGAUACCAUACCCCAAAGGACACCAGGUGUCUAUAUUCCAAGCAUCCCAACCCCAUUCAGGUUUCAAUUCAGGUUUUUUGUGAGGACCCAAGACUAAAAGCCAGCGACAUUGAACAGAUAAGGCAUAACAAGUAGAGAAUAGUUUAGAUGGUUCUGUAAGUAAAUGAAGAGCAAAAGAACAUAUUACAAGGUCAUAUAUGCCAUCUUCAGCGCUACUUGGAGGUAGUUUUUCAUCAGCAAUAUCCUGAAAGUUUAGCGUUAAGCAUGGCUUACCAAUGCGAUUUGUGUAGGCUUCUAAAGUAAAUGGGUCCGUAGCUAUAAGCUCAAAAGGAGGUAAUUCUGGUGGAAUAGAACGUAUAGAAAUUUCUUUACGGACUUUAAAAGCUCCUCCAUGUAUACCCAGUUCCCUCCCUAAAUGCUCCCAUUCUAUAACUGUUUCUGAAACUUCCCCACUUCCACAUGCCAAAUCUAUAACAUGCAAUCCGUGACUUUUAAACUUUUCAUCAUGAUCCCAAAAAUGACUUAAGCACUGCAAUAGCAAAAGUCGUAAUCCCCGAAAAUGCAAAUUUCGAUAAGUCCCUCCUACCUUUUUGUAAUAAACAUCUACGCCUUGCGCAUAGUUAUCUCUCAUUGAGUAA
Molecule: non-coding RNA, 850 nt
Organism: Schizosaccharomyces pombe (fission yeast)
Lineage: Eukaryota; Fungi; Ascomycota; Schizosaccharomycetes; Schizosaccharomycetales; Schizosaccharomycetaceae
Source: the annotation of a GenBank genome assembly